RNAcentral lists this long non-coding RNA (13223 nucleotides) under Brassica rapa (field mustard). Its description in RNAcentral is "long non-coding RNA (BRAP_LNC006202)". The record is from RNAcentral. Lineage: Eukaryota; Viridiplantae; Streptophyta; Magnoliopsida; Brassicales; Brassicaceae.
AAAAAAAAAAAAAAAAAAAGAGUAAAGACUAAUUCCUAAUUAAUUCAGACUAAUUGCAUUAGGAAUAAAUAAAUACUACUGUUUAACGUUAAAACUUUUUUUACUUAAAGUGAAUACUGUUCCUGGAAAACAUUUGAUUGAUAUUUUAUCGUAUAGUAAUAUUUUGACAGCUAUUAUGCAACCCAUAGGGAUGGAGAAAGGUCCUAGCUAGAAGUUAUAGAGUUCGAAGUUAUAUCACUCCCCCAGGUAGAAUUCGCUUUUAUUAUUAUUUUCCACACUAGUCAUCAUUAUCAUCACUAUAGCUAGCAUGUAGCCUUAUUUUUCUUUGUUUUGACAGUGACAUUUGAAAAGUUAUUUUUAAUUUGUCAAAACAUUUGACCAACUCUUAUCUUUUCCUUUCAACUUUUUUGCCUCUCUCUUUCUUUUGAAUUUUGCUCUCUUUUUUCCUCUUUGAAAAUUAACCUCAAAAGUCAUUUCAAACAGAGAGAGAGAGGUUAACGCAUCUGAAUACAGCCAGUACAAUUCUCUGAGUUGUUGAUAUUUCAAGGUAAAAUUAUAAAUCAAUCAAUCAAUCGGUUUCACAAUGAAAAGAAAACAUGAACAAAUGAAAACUAAAUAAAGAGAAAGAAAACAUCAAUUCUUUACAAAAUAUAGUACAGUGUCACUCACUUUUACAUUAUUAUUUUCAUAAAAUAUGCUACACGUAAUUAAAUAUGUAUCAAGUGAGAAAGAGAGAGAAAGUAGAUCUGCGGUGGUUUCGGCGUUCGGUCGGCGCGUGAGCGUCCGUGCCAACGCCGGAGUCCGUCGUCCUUCAGUUUAAUAGUUUCGGAAUUGUCUUCUCCUCAUCUCCUUCAGUGGCCGCCUUGUCUGACCUCUGGCCAAACAUCCACCGUGGUGGUUCUGAUCUUGGAGUGAAGACGCGGUUACUUGGAGGGUUGGCGCGGUGAAGAUGAUAGUUGGUUGGGUCCUGUUUCCGGGAGGUGGAGGCUUCCACAGCUUCGCCGCCGCCGGUUCUUGUCGCCGCGAGGUGGAAGCUUCUUCAGUUUCGCCGUAGUCGGUUCUAGUCGCCGGGAGGUGAAGGCUACCACAGCCUUGCGUCGUCGGCUGUAGGUAUAUCAGUGGGUUUGUUUAGGGUUUUUAGGAUCCGUUCUUUAGAUCUGGUUGGUUGUCUUGCGGGUUUAGUGUUUGAGAGGUUGGGCCUUGUCGGAGGAGCUCUCGAAGAGUGUUGAGGCUCUCCGAUGAGUUGAUGAAGCGAAGAAAAGAGAUGGUUUCGACGGAGGCUCUCCAGGUUAUGAGCUCCGGCGAAAGGAAGUGGCGGUGAUGUGGUACCGAUGGAGACCUGCGGCGAAGACGGUCAAGUCGAGAUGGUGGCGACGCGUGUCGUCCUGAGAGUUUAGAUGCUCACACGUGUUCAGUUGCCACCCUCCUUGUUGCGUAGUUCGGCCGACGUCGUUCGGGAGUUAAAUGGUUGGGCCGACGGCCCGUUAAUGGAUUCGGUUUUAAUGUUUUGGGCCUGUUGCCUUUUAGUUGUAUCUGGGCUUCGGAAUAUGUUAUCUGGGCUUGGCCCGUUUUCUUUAAUUAAAAAUUAUCCAGACGGAAAAAAAAAAAACAAUGUUUGAUGCAAAAAAAAAAAAUUAAAUAUGUAUCAAGUAGUAUCCGUAAAUUAAUCAUAAGUAUUAUUCACAAGAGAAUUAGAUGUAGAGUGAUAAUAAAUAAGUUAGAUUUGAUCAUAAAUAGCUUAAACUAUUGAAGUAACUGAGAGACGAGUAAGACAACUUUAAGCUUGUCUGACGUCAAUGCAAACACGCACAGAGAUUCAGACACGCUCACAAGACGCGCGCGCGUGCGCAUAAAUAUCAUAAACUCGCGCUUUGAAAUCAUUCACGUUUCAGGGGUUCAAAAGAAUCGCGUUCUAAAACGCAGAGUAGGUUAAAUAGAGAUUUGUGGGGACAGAUGCAGAGACCGUGCGUCGCAAAAGUCCAAGGAAUCAGCGGUUUCUUCAAAAGGUUAAUGGGCCCCAACGCGUUUUUGGUCUUUGUCUCCAUGUCACUAUCUUCUUUUGUCCUUUUUUUUUCUAUCUUGUGGCGACCGGAUUAGGUAAUGUACUAUUACCUCAUAUGUAAUGGGUUAAUGUUAGGCUUUAGCUUUUGUAAUAAGUUAAAUUUUAGUUGGGCUUCGUUUGAAAGCAGCCUGUAAUGUUUUUGGCCUUUUAAUUUUAAUGAACCUUUUGUGGAGAAAAAAAAGACUCCAAAAAACAUAAGAAUUCAUUAAUCUUCAACACCAUAAUGAGUUAUGGAUUUCAAGUCACAGAAAAAAAAUUUCUUACAUGGUGCAAUGAAUAUCAAUAUAUCAUCAAACGUAAAUUUCAUAAGAUAACUUGAAAUCAAACGUGAAUUCUAAUCAAAUAUGUAAAAUUAUCAGUUGUAUAAUCAAUCUUUUUUUUUUUUUUGGUAAAAAUGUUAAAUUCAUUACCAGUUUUCAAUUUUUUAUAGACAAACAUAGAUGACAAGAAGCAGAAUACAGAAAAUAAAAUCUAACAGAAACUCAAACCUAAUGUUACAGAGCCUAUCUACAAGAAUAACAGCAGUACACAAAAGAAAACAUCAGAGACAGAACACUCGCUUGCCGCAGAAAUCAAACCCGCAAUUAAACCGAGAGAUUGGACCCGGGAGAAAUUGGCGAACCGCGGUGACCAACUCUUAAUGAUCGGGUUGUCAAAAACAGCUCGCUAAGACCAUCUAAUCUGCGACCUUCAUGGACAAACUGCUAGACUCGUGACCAAGGACACCUGCAUUGAGAAGGUUGAGCUUUAUUGGAGAAGGAGCACCCACAAGCCGCCACACGCUAUCGAACCUGCAUCAGAAAGACAUAAACAACAACCUCCACCCUUAAGGCAAAGCGGACCUGAGACAGCCCUAGAUCAGCCUCAAAACCCUGCUAUCUCAGCACGUGCCGCCACCAAGGAGAUGAGCCACGGUUGACAAGACCAGCAACUCAUCUCUUCGCACACGCCCCUGCGACGGAGAACCCGCCGUAGACCAUUCUGACUUGGAAACGAAAGCAGCUCGAGGAAGCCUCUGAGAGGAAGAUUGACCGGCCCAAAAAGCACGUUGCUGGAGACCACCGAGACAAGGGGAAGAAGCACCGCAGCUCCACCGUCUAAGGGAUCCAUGACGCCUUCAGCCAAGCUAAUCCACUCACCCAGCCGAGAAGAGCAAGCAAAGAGGGCAAGAGGAAGGAGAGAGAUCUCACAACCAAAGUCCAGAUCUGACACCAGAUCCAAACCCCCGCCACUCAACGCACCCAGAGGAACCGCACAUCCACUCUCCGCCCUGCUUCUCCGGAGAUCCAAGUCCGACGCGCCAGAUCUGACCCAUACGGAAGCGCAAAGACACAGAACCACCGAAAAGGAAACAGAGGAGAGGAGAGAGAGGAGAGGCGAAGAGGGAACAAAAACAAAGAGAGGCGGGCGACCAGCGACUAAGGAGGAGGAGGAGCGCCGCCGGCCACCCAAACGUGAAAAAUUAGGGUUUUAUUCUAGAGAGGAUUGUAGAGAGAGAAAACUUUAUUUUUACGUCAGGUAGAAUGAUCUUGUAUAAUCAAUCUUUGUAAUACUUCUCAUAAUAACAUAAUUGAUUAUCGUAAAAAAUUAAAAAUAUAAAAAUACCACAAGUUCUUAGCAUUUUUUAUUUCCAACCCCUUGAAUUUACCUUUACACCCUUUGUGUUGUGUUAUCAGUGAUUCUUGUUACUCUCUUCUCUUUGAAGACACUCCUUAAGUCCUCUAACAAUCUGUUGCAUGGCUGGCCUCUCAGCAACGUUCUGCGAAACAGAGGCCAAAGCAAGCUCCACAAUUUUCCAAACAGAGUUGGCAUCAAAAUCUCCCCCCAUUUUAGAAUCAACAACGUUGCUCACAUCAUUAGUAGACUUCAAGAUGGAUAUCACCCAAUCACUCACAUGCACACGCUUCGUCUCUGACUCACUGAUCACAGCUUUGCCUGUAAUCAUCUCCAAUAAAACAACUCCAAAGCUGUAGAUGUCACUCUUCUCGUUUAAUUCAUUUGUUUUAAAGCAUCUGCACAUUAUUUUAACAAACAGAACACAAUCAACACAAUAUUUAUUAUAUAUAUCUUAUAUAGGAUCGAUGGUCAACUUUGGACCGAAUCCAUUUUAUAUAUUAUUUAAGAUCUCUUGCAAUAUCCAAUGUGGUAGACUUUGUAAUAGAGAGAGAACUAACAGUGGAUCAAGAUAUCCAGGAGUUCCAGCGACAAGAGUGGACACGUGAGAACGGCUCUCUGUCUGAAAACUCCUAGAGAGUCCAAAAUCUGCAAGCUUUGCUCUGUUGUUCUCGUUCAACAAUAUGUUCGAUGUCUUCACAUCUCUGUGAACUAUCGCAGGUUUGCAUCCACUGUGAAGAUACUCCAGCCCUUGUGCUGCAUCAAGUGCAAUCUGAAGUCUUUGUCUCCAGCUCAAGGAAUGGUCAUACUUCCCUGAGAGAUGAUCUGCCAUGUUUCCAUUAGCCAUGAACUCAUAGACGAAUCCCAUUUGAUUAGAUUCAUGGAAAUAGCCGAUCAGUGCAGUGAGGUUUACGUGAUGAACCCUCACAAGUACUUCAACCUAUACAAAUAUAUGUUGUUAGAGUCAACCUUAAUGGUGGGAAUGCUCAUUUGAAUAUCUUUUAUAUUUGUUAUUAUUGUUUUAAAUUUUCAUUUUUACAACAAAAUUAAUUUCUAAAACCAUGACAUGUGUCUUUGUAGUAUGUAAAGAAGUUUUUUGAAAUACAAGUUCUCAAAGAUUUGUUCCUUCUUCUUAAUUUUAAAUUUUUUAAUUAUUAUUUUGUGGAUAUACUUUGGCUAAGGAAUCAAGUACAUUACCUCAGAGCGAAACUCUUUGAAUCCUUGAGCUGAUGAUUCUGAUAAAAGUUUAACUGCUACUUGAAGGUCGUUAUAGUAGCCAUGGUACACUGUUCCGAAACCUCCUUUACCAAGGACACGGCCAAAGUUAUUUGUCAUCUUUACAAUGUCUGGAAAGGUAAGAAGUAAUGUGUUUGAAUCCGCCUUAGGACGGUUUCUUGUUUCGCUGUCUGUAUCUUGUUCCACUGUCGCAAAAAUAAAGUUGAACAGUUGGUAAUGUGAUAAGCAGUUAGAUAGGUAUGUCAAUAGACUGUUACCUGGCUUGUUACUUCGUUUCUUGAUCUUCCAAAACACACCAGAUAAUAGCAAGAGAAUGAACAAUGCUGCCAAUGAUGCGCCAACCGCGGUUAUGAGUGUUUUUUUGUUGCUUUUUACGCAAGAAAUCUCGGUACAUAGGCCUGGAUUGUCUCCAACCUUUAGCAAGAGUGGUCCGCUCAUUGAUCUUCUUAAUAAGUCAGAUGGAACUGAACCUGUUAGCUUGUUCUUCUCUAGAUUCCUGCAGGUGUUAUUAAGAGUUAGAGCCUGUCUUUUAUCGAUCUAAUCUGUUAUGACAUAACUUACAAAACCCUCAAGAACUUCAGUCCUGACAGGGACUCUGGUAUGUCUCCGGUUAAGUCAUUGUUUGAUAAGUCUCUGCCAAUUAAGAAGAUAAAUAGUAGUUUAAUUCCUUGUUCAAAUCAAGAAACUCUUUAACAAUAUAAAGAAAGAUAAACUCACAGCUCUUCAAUCAUUGUGAGGUUAGAGAAAGAGGGAGAUAUGUGACCUGUUAACCCGCUCGAAGAUAAGUUCCUGAAUCCUUUAAGCAAUCAAUAUACAAAAUCUAAAGAUUGAACAAGAACAUAUGAGGACAAAACUACACUUACAGUAAUGUGAUUCUUGGAGGAGCAAAACUAGUAUCACUGCAGUUAAGUCCCUCCCAUAUGUAGCUAUUAGGCAAACAAGGAUCUCCUUGCCAGUUUCUCUUCACUUUAUAACUCAUCUUUAUACUCGUAACCGCGUCAUCUGUACAUUUUAACUGAAACCAUUGAUCAAACUAUGAUUAAAAGAUUGAAUUAGUUUAAGUCAUCUUACAAGCACGUACCGUCGUCUUGGCUAGUAAGAGACUGCGAGUAAGUAUUGCCUACGUAGAUCUCUAGAGCAUUAAUAAGCGGUGGAAGCGUAGACUGGGGGGUUCUCUCGAGAGUAAACCUAAUAUCUGUUUGGCUCUCAGGCGUCAGAACAAAAGUGUCUGACCGAAGAUACUUGGGACUGAAGUCAGCUAGUGUCUCCCCGUUAAUGCGGAUAUGGAACUCUCUUGUCUGGUCAGGUGUGAGACUGAGAUCCUCGACCUCAGCGAAGUGCAUGUAAACAAAGUACCUGACGGUUGGAUCACUGUUCUCCAAAAUCAUAGUGAUGGGGCUUGUUGCGUUUGUGGGAGUCAGUGCUGUGCUCAUCACCGAGCUUGGAAGGUUGUAACUAUUACUAUUGCCUGAAAUAACUGGACGUGAUGUAUUGAUCUCUCUAUAUUGUGUCCCCAGUUUGCGAGGAAUCCAGAUUCGGUCAUAUACAUCUUCACUAUACCUGAUUUUUUUUAAAAUAAAACAUUCCCAACUUUAUUACAGUGUAGGUAAAGAGCUACAUAAACAGAGAAUAAAUAGAAACAGAGCAAGAAACAGAGGAUGGAACAGAGAGUAUGAAACAGAGAAUAAGUAGAAACAGAGCAAGAAACAGAGGAGGAAACAGAGGAUAAGUAGAAACAGAGUAUGAAACAGAGAGCAUAAAACAGAGGAUGGAACAGAGGUUUACCUGAUAUGUUGUGAAUCAUUGAGAGAACCAAAGUUCCAGCGUCUGGAGAAGAACAGAGCACUAUUUGGAGAAUCGUACGUCGUGUUGUCGUUACCGAGAAAUCUCAGCUCUAGAGUCGAGAUAAAUGGAGUUCCUUUACCUUUGUUUCCCAAACAGACAAAGAUUUUCUCAGACUGGCUCAAGUAAACAACUUCUUUGGUCACUGGGAGGGGUGUGUUGUUAAAGGACAGAUUUGUCCAGAGACUGCCACCAAGAAACAGAUCAAAUUCUGGUGAACUGUUUUCUCCGCGUAGUUACCGUACAAGAAACUGGUUCUUAUCAAGUACUUCUUACCUUUCCCCUGUUCUGGAAUCAGAGUGUAACAGUUUCUUGAACCUUCAGGAAAGCUCCUCAGGUUCUGAAGCUGUCUUUGAGCAGCGAAGGAGAGCGUUUUAGAGACUCCGGUUUCAACAAAGGAUGAAUCAGAGACGUAGUUAAUGCCCGUUGUGUCGUCUGUGUAGGAUGAUCCACUUGGGAUCCCACAGUCAAUGCUUAUGAAACCUGUAAGAUUAUACAUUUUCAUAAAACAGGAUUAGACUUUCUUCAUUUCAACGACUCUUAGAGAUUAAAUAAUCAGUUGAUAAAUUAUAACCUGAUUGAUCCUGGGAAAGAACUGAAAUGACCAAACACAGUGCAAGAUAUACCAAAAAUGGAAAACGAACGUUUCCCAUUUUAAUCUGGCUUUUGAGAAAAGGCAACAAGAAAUGGGUUUGAGAUAUGUGAUGUGAUGAAGUUUGAAGUUCUGUAUUUAAAGAAAAAAAAAAUUGUUUUGGAGGUAAACUCUGAAGACCAAAAACAUAAACAAAUUGGAAGUUAAGUGAUUUAUAUUAGCUACUUGCUCUCUCUGUGACUUAGCAAAGUCAAUGAGAGAACUCAGCUGAUGUUUUCAAUAUAUAAACUAAAGUAUUUUUUUCAGUAUAAACUAGCAAGUAGCAAAUAUAUAUUUUCAGUACAUAACUCUAACUUAAAAUAUGUGUUAUACAUGACUAGCAUGAUCUUUAUUAUCUUCUGUCUGCCUUUAAAGUCUUCUGAGACUACUUUGAUAUGAACAACACAUUGUAUACAAAAAAAAAAGAAUUGUAUGAUGAUGAGAAAACUUCUUUACAACACUGUCAAAGAUCAAGACUCAGCAUGUAUAUAACAAAGUAACCAACAACAUGGUGAAGACAACAUUUGUUCCAAAACCACUAUGGUGGGCCUUGUUCAUGACACAUAGUCUUUAUCCCUAUCCCUUGUAUAUAUUUACACUUCAAUGACUCUAAAACCUAUCUUAUAUCAAAGCAGAACGGCGUGAAGAAUAGAAUGGACCAAGACUUCUUUUAGCAGCUGUAGUAACGUUUUCCGCAAGCAACCUCCAUUUAGACUCUUCUCUCUUGCUAAUCUUCUUCAUCUUCUCCUUGAAGUUCCUACAAGUUAUAAAAGAAAUGAUUACAAACUGUUUAUAUAACAUUCGAAGGAUCUGUUACUGGAACUUACCGGCAGAGAGGGACCUCGCAAGAAUCAGAACUACCACAGAGACAAGAGUGAAGCUGAAUAAGCUGCCACAUCCUUUUACAAUGACCACACGAAGCCCUAGCAGACUUGCAUCCCAAGAAAUGUCUAAGCCCACCUUCAACACCUUUACAAGCCGAGAACUCACACACAGCUUUGCUUCCCUUAAGCGCUUUACCUCGAGGCCCUAUCGUCCCACAACCUUCUCUAUAUAUAUGAACAAGAGCCUCCACAGCUUCAUAAAGCUCCAAAUACAUUCUCCUCUCCUCCACCUUCUUCCUCCUCUCUUUCUUCCUAGCGUCUGCCUCCACCACCGCCUCAAGAAGCUCUUGCUCUAGCUUACGAUCACCUCGCGUCAUCACCUUCCAUCCUUCCGUUGAAGAUACAGACUUAAAGUCUCUGAUGACCAUUGAAACGCAUAGAAAGCUGAUCCUCGCGGCGUCGCAGGUUCGAGCUAGCUGGAGCACGUCGAUGACAUUCUCCUUGUUGAUCCAUCCUUGACCGAGAACCUCUACGCAGACUCUUUUGAGAGAUGGGACCGAGUAGCAGUGUGAGAGAACCAACAAAGGGAGCACGUACUUCUUCAUGUCUUCCUCCUCGUAGCUGCAAGAGUAGAGAAACCGAAUGAACAUGUAGACAGCUUCUUGAGGCACUCCGAGGAACUUGAGGUGUGAAUUUCCUUUUUUGUCCCUUGACUGAUGUAGAAGCUGUGGCAUUACAGGUGAAGCUGCAGCCUACAUAAGAUGCAAUACAACCUUCUCUUAGCGUAUUACUUCUCUUAUAUGAGAUGAAAUAAGACUUUAUACUUACCAGUAUGUAUGAAUGGGCUAGAAAAUGAGAUUUGUUAUCGACUUCAACGUAUGUAUCUGCUCCAGUGCCUUCUUUGAAAAGCUUAUCCCAAGUUUCUAUUGUUUCUUGGGGCACAAGGCGUGAUGAUGAGCUCGAGGGUUUGCUUCUGGAAGCUUGGUAGGUUACACGAGGAAGAGGAGGAGGUUUUGGAAUAUUCUUGGCACAAGUAGAUACUUCUGAAGAAGCCAUUGAAUCAAAUCCCGCGACUUGAGAAUAGAUUAUGUUACAGUUCUUGAAUCUGCAAAGCAUCGACCACAAUGUCAAGAGUCGUACGUGAGAGCUAAGCAUCGACCAUAAAGUUCGAAACUUUGACACAAAACUGAUCAAAACAGAGGCAGAAACAGAGACUGUCACAGAACCAAGAAACGAAAGAACAGAGAAGCAAGAACGUUCAACAGAUGAAACUAUACGUAAAGAUUCUCAGUUUCGCAGUUCAUCAUUGCAAGAUAAAGUAAGCAAAACCCAGAAACUGUAACGAUCGAAAAGUGCUCAAACCCAACGAAGAACAGAGGAAGGGAGAAGAAACUGGAAGAGUCUUUGAUCAUUCUUACCCAGAAACAGAGACGACGACGUUUACCCAAUACUCGGCCGAGAUGAUAAAGAGUAUCUAGGUGAAGUUCAUAACCAUUACUCUUUCUUCAAUCACCACCAACUCAACGCGAUGCAGAGAAUGAUGAUCACAAUUGAAGAGCGAAGAAAGAGAAGUUUUUUUGGUGCCAAGUGGUUGGUUUCGUCCUUUAAGUCUAAAGCACACGGGAAGUAGCAAAUUUGCUUACUAAACGUCUGCCAAACGACGUCGUUAAUGAAGAAUUAGGAGUAUGGCAUUUUCUGACAUAAAGAACGAAAAAUUGAAGGCCACGAAUGAUUUUUAAAAAAGAAUAUUAUUAGCUUAAAAUGAUUUUGAGGGGAGAGAUAUUAUAAGGUUGAAAGACGUAUAUGGCUGAUCUUGAAUUGCACUAAAGACUAAAGUUAGUGCUCCUUGUCACCGCCAUUUUUGUAUUCUGUCUCUAUGCCCGGUAAGUUAAACUAAAUAGGUUUAUUAUUGGCACCUUAUCUUACCGACCAGCCGGUGGAAAAAUAGUACCGACCAGUCUAAUAAUAUGAUGGAUCCUUACUAGAAAUUAUAUAAGCGCAGAAUGUUCACUGUAAAAAGUAAAAUUAAUUAAGAAUGGUAAACAAAUUUAUCCAACAGAGUCAAAAUCAAGAACUUGGACUUUUGUAAAUAAGAUCUAUGAAUAUUACUGUAGGGACAACAUAUGAAUUGAGUGAUAUAAUAAGGUAGUGCUAACCAACUUUGUCACGGGUUUCGAGUGGACGGCGACGGAAAGUUCUUAAAACGGAGUGAUCAAACUCAAUAGUUUUAUUUUGCAGAAAUGUACUGUAAGCUUGGAAGAGCUUGGAGAUGACGGAUACAUGUGACUAGUCCAAUAAAAGAGCAACCGGCGUUAAACGACGUAUAUGUUUGCCUUCAAAUUACAUGUUAGUGUUACAGCUACGGGCCCAAAUAAUAGAACUAGAAGCCCAAUUAUUGGAUAUAAAAAGUACAUUAUCUUUCUUUUUUUUUAACGACAAACUAUUUUAUUAAUAUCAAACUGGAUUCAAAUGUUUACAUGAAACAUAAGAGAUAAACAACACAUUUUUAAGAAGAUUUUGAAAUUGGAAAAAUAAUAACACGUUGCUAUCUAACUCAUCCGUAGAAUAGGCUGAUACGCUAACUUUAUCCAUCUUCGUUCUCGGUCUUAGAUGAUCUUGUUUUUGGUUGUCAUGCAUUGUGACCAAAAGCCUCUUUUCUUUUCGAAGAUCAUUCGAUUGGAUCCAUCUGUUACAUCUCAAUCCGUCCUAUACACUUCCGCUGCAGGAGAUAACAUGUGUUGUUAUUGUCUUAACUCUCCAUGAUCUAGGUUUUCUCCCGAUUUGAAACCAACAAACACAAUAACUAAAGUACUCCACAUUGUGUUGAUGUUGUAAUAUAACCAUUGGACGCUGUUUCAGAACACUAUUUCCUUCAUCUUGGCCAUUACCAGACUCCUCCCAUUUUUUAUUUUUUGGUACAUUAUCUUUCAUAUUUUUUAAAUACUACCAUAAAGUUUUUUUUUUUCAUUUAAGAACUUAAAAGACCUUCAUUAAUAAUUUAGAUUUUAUAACUUUGAAAAUGUACUGUCUGAUAGUUAUUAGCGGAAAAAUGAUGUACAUCAACAUAGAGAAAUUUGUUAGCAUAUUAAAAAAAUUAUAUGAAAUAACGAAAAAUAUACAUAUCAUCACUUGAUAAACAUCUAGGGAGAUCCAAUAACACAUGUAUAAUCUGAUUACCAAAAAAAAAAAAAAAACACAUGUAUAAUCUAUUUGGAACUCUACUAUUUUACAUACUGAGAAUGUAUAUAAGUGAAACGAAGACUAGUCAAUAAUGUAUAACUGAAUGUUUUUAAUAUUCCUAUGAACAAAUAACCGUCGACCACUCAUAAUUCAAAUGAAAAUGACGGCAGAAUAUCUUGAGCCUCAAGAAAGAAGAGUCGCCAACGACUCGGGUCUCUUUUGGAGCAGGUCCAAAGGCAGUAAAGAGUUAAAUUAAUAGAAAAAAUAAAAAAGUAUGAGAGAUGUAGCUCAAAAAUUGCUCGAAUACAACAAUAGAACUCUUCUAGAUACUCUAAAUACAACUGUUAUUUUAUAAUUAACCUAACUAUUUAAAGAUAAAUAAAGUUUAAUCAGAUAAAUAAAAUAAAUUAUAAUAAUAAUAUAAAUCUGACAAGAACUCCAUUGAACAACUUUUAGUGUGGAAGAAAUUCUUAGCAUUGAAUUUAUAAUCCUACCGUUUCACAAAGAUAGUUUUUUAGUAUUUUUACAUAUAUUAAAAAACAUAUUAAAUCACUAUAAUAAAUAUAUUGUUUUCUAUAAUUUUCAAAUUUUGAUAAUUUUUAAGUAAUAGUAAAUUAAUAAAGUCAAAUAAUUUUUUUAAAAAUUACAAUUUUUUCAUAGAAAAUACAAAAAAACAAUUUUUGUAAAACAAUUUUUUUCUCUAAAACAUCUAACUUAAUGAAACGGAGGAAAUAGUUUAUAAAACCACUUCUUCAAAGCAAAUUAUUUGUAAAUAUAUGGUAUAUAUAUAUUACUUUUAAUUAGUAUCAAUUGGCUUGUUGCUGUAAAAACAAAUAUUUCUUAUCAACAGUAUUUUGAAGUUAAUUCGUCUUGAAAAAUUGUAGAUUUUCUCACACACACAGCAACAAAAACCCACAAGCAGGCGCUAUAUGAGCUACGCUUUUAAUACUAGUAGUAAAGUAGCUUUAGAUAGCAUGAGAUGAGUAUCUAUCAAUGAUUUACACUUUGGAUCCGGGUUACAUCAGCAAUGACCUCAACAGUAGUAAUAUACAGCUGAGCUGCAGUGUAUGUGUCUCCCCCAUGGUGAAGAAGACAAAAAUAACCUAAUAAAGUAUAUGUUUUUUUGUUGGUGUUAAAAGUAUAGGUAAACAUGCGUAUACUGUAUACAUGUUGCGAACUAUAUAUAUGUCGUACACUGGGUACUUAUGUCACAUGCAAAUUACAAUAAAUAAUUAUGUCAAUAUAUAGAUUGGUGGGUUGCAUUAUCACUGACCUCGGCCUCUGUUCCACACAUCUUGGUCGCCACGGAACCUUUACCUUUUUUGUAUUCUAGUCCAAGAAAUCGCCCCACCAAAGACGUAGUCAUAUCAAAGUCUUCUUAAUCCGAUAUUAUGGCUAUAUAAACACACCCACAUGUUAGACUGAGUAAACAAGAGCACAAUAAUAAAAAAGAUAAAAGAAAAAAAAUGAGAGAAGGAUCUCAUGUUAUCGUCCUGCCUUUCCCUGGACAAGGCCACAUAACUCCAUUGUCCCAGUUCUGCAAGCGCUUAGCCUCAAAGGGUCUUAAGCCCACUCUUAUCCUCGUCUCCGACAAACCCACUCCGCCUUACAAAAUAGAUAACGAUUCAAUCACUGUCUUCCCCAUCUCCAACGGCUUCCAAGAAGGCGAAGACCCGUUACAAGACCUAGAUGAUUACAUGGAAAGAGUAGAAACCAGCAUCAAGAAACGCUUACCGGAGUUGAUACAAGACAUGAAGCUGUCCGGAAACAUUCCUAAGGCUCUUGUGUACGACUCCACCAUGCCGUGGCUUCUUGAUGUAGCUCAUGAUCAUGG